CCUUCGAUAGCUCAGUUGGUAGAGCGGAGGACUGUAGAUCCUUAGGUCGCUGGUUCGAUUCUGCUGGAAGGA
Molecule: transfer RNA, 72 nt
Filed under: Dipodomys ordii (Ord's kangaroo rat)
Lineage: Eukaryota; Metazoa; Chordata; Mammalia; Rodentia; Heteromyidae
Description: tRNA-Tyr (GTA) (tRNA-Tyr-GTA-4-1)
Rfam family: tRNA
About the family: Transfer RNA (tRNA) molecules are approximately 80 nucleotides in length.
Source: RNAcentral